GGACACGCCACGCUAAAGCCAGUUACGUUCUGUGGAGCAAAGUUGCGUCUGGAAAGAAUCGUCAUGAUGGUCUGGGCCAGAUGAAGAAGACGAUUAGAGAAGACGUCACCUACGAGUUGCCUGAUGUAACUAAAUAUGAACCAAAACAACACUGUCAAUAAUGAAGAGUGGACAACAUAGUGAACGCGGUAUGCCUUCAUACAACAUCAUAGGAAGCAGGAUCCAACAAGAUAGAAGAAUAGUGCAAAUCGACAUGUGGAGUUACAUAGGCCAUUAGGGAUAACAGCAAAGACUUAUAAGUCCAGCUCGAAAACCAACACAACUCCACUCUCAUACACCUAUGCCCCCUCCCAUCCAGCCCCCAACCAACA
Hyla sarda is the source of this 371-nucleotide long non-coding RNA. RefSeq lists it as uncharacterized. The record is from RefSeq and is a predicted model, not a curated record. Lineage: Eukaryota; Metazoa; Chordata; Amphibia; Anura; Hylidae. The transcript has 3 exons.